UACGGAGGGUGCGAGCGUUGUUCAGAAUUACUGGGCGUAAAGCGCGUGUAGGCGGCCUGCUAAGUCUGAUGUGAAAGCCCAGGGCUCAACCUUGGAAUUGCCUUUGAUACUGGCUGUCUUGAGUUCGGGAGAGGUGAGUGGAAUGCCGAGUGUAGAGGUGAAAUUCGUAGAUAUUCGGCGGAACACCAGUGGCGAAGGCGACUCACUGGCCCGAUACUGACGCUGAGGCGCGAAAGCGUGGGGAGCAAACAGG
This 253-nucleotide ribosomal RNA is filed under the name uncultured bacterium. Its description in RNAcentral is "partial 16S ribosomal RNA". It matches the Rfam family "Bacterial small subunit ribosomal RNA", at positions 524 to 776 of the family's 1533-position model. The record is from RNAcentral.